Molecule: long non-coding RNA, 405 nt
Organism: Cydia splendana
Lineage: Eukaryota; Metazoa; Arthropoda; Insecta; Lepidoptera; Tortricidae
Exons: 2
Source: RefSeq, a predicted model, not a curated record
AUUCUGGUUAGGGUUUGCAUUAUUAUUAUUUCCGGACGACCUGGAUGAUGUCCAGGUUCUCAUGAUGGAGUCAGGAGUUGGUCACCGAACUCCUAAUCUACUUAUCAUAACGCCAUUGUGUUUGGGCUCAUUAGAUUUGCCCUGACGAGCAUCAUCUAUCUAGACGAGGUCCAGGUUCUCAUGAUGGAGUCAGGAGUUGAUCACCAGAACUCCUGAUCUACUCAUUAGCACUCCCUCGUGUUUGGGGUCAUUAGAUUUGCCCUGACGAGCACCAUCUAUCUAGAUGAGGUCCAAGGUCUCAUGAUGGAGUCAGGAGUUGGUCACCAGAACUCCUAAUCUACUCAUCAUAACUCCAUCGUGUUUGGGCUCAAUAGAUUUGCCCUGACGAGCACUAUCGAUCUAGAU